Molecule: ribosomal RNA, 542 nt
Filed under: uncultured bacterium
Lineage: Bacteria
Description: partial 16S ribosomal RNA
Rfam family: Bacterial small subunit ribosomal RNA
Source: RNAcentral
UGGGGAAUAUUGCACAAUGGGCGCAAGCCUGAUGCAGCCAUGCCGCGUGUGUGAAGAAGGCCUUCGGGUUGUAAAGCACUUUCAGCGAGGAGGAAGGUGGUGGACUUAAUACGUUCAUCAAUUGACGUUACUCGCAGAAGAAGCACCGGCUAACUCCGUGCCAGCAGCCGCGGUAAUACGGAGGGUGCAAGUGUUAAUCGGAAUUACUGGGCGUAAAGCGCACGCAGGCGGUUUGUUAAGUCAGAUGUGAAAUCCCCGGGCUCAACCUGGGAACUGCAUUUGAAACUGGCAAGCUAGAGUCUCGUAGAGGGGGGUAGAAUUCCAGGUGUAGCGGUGAAAUGCGUAGAGAUCUGGAGGAAUACCGGUGGCGAAGGCGGCCCCCUGGACGAAGACUGACGCUCAGGUGCGAAAGCGUGGGGCAGCAAACAGGAUUAGAUACCCUGGUAGUCCACGCUGUAAACGAUGUCGAUUUUGGAGGUUGUGCCCUUGAGGCGUGGCUUCCGGAGCUAACGCGUUAAAUCGACCGCCUGGGGAGUACGGCC